This 3561-nucleotide long non-coding RNA is filed under the name Aplysia californica (California sea hare). RNAcentral's name for it is "uncharacterized LOC118478939". The record is from RNAcentral. Lineage: Eukaryota; Metazoa; Mollusca; Gastropoda; Aplysiida; Aplysiidae.
AUAUAUAGAGAGAGAGAGAGAUACAUAUAUAUAUAUAUAUAUAAAUACAAUAAGCAGCCACACUAUAACCUGUAAUAUUUCUACGGUCCGGUAAUGAUGUAUUCUCUGUGCCAAGGCUAGCGCUAGGGUGGACUGAGGUUCCUACAGUCAUAGAGCUUGACUUUAGUUCUGUGGGGGUCUUUGUGACACUUUAUUCUUUUGUCUGUCGUCUGUGGGGGUCUUUGUUCUUUUGUCUGUGGUCUGUGGGGGUCUUUGUUCUUUUGUCUGUCGUCUGUACAGCUCAUGUGUUGAUUGUUGUUCCUUGUGGUCAUUGGCAUGUUGGAUGGUUGUUGUGGGUGGCUGGCGGGUGCUCUGGUGUGGUCUGCUCCUUCUGUCUCAUCCAAUAUACCGGACCGGUAUUGUCGUUAUCUUUGACUCUCGUCCUUUUUUUUUUUUGUAUGUCACAACUCUCUCUAGUUGGAAGAACACCCUUAAUUCUUUGUAUUUAUAUAAUAUUUGUAUUGCAAUUGCUGUAAAAUUCUUACUUAAACUUGAAAAAAAUAAUUUUUGGAAAGAACUGAAUUGUUGUUAGCUGAAACCUUUUCAAUCUUUACCUGACUCGGCUCAAAAAUGUUUCCUUUUUUUUUUUUUUCUGGCUUAAUUUGGAAAUUUGUCAGUACUUCAAUAGGGAGCGCUGCGUGAGACUGGUGGGUCAAGAGUCAGUUGGAGUUUGGUUUCCGUCUGAUUUGGGCCUUAAUUGUAGCGCUCAGAAUACGUUUUCUGUCGACGAUGUCACUUUUCUUCGAGUCGGAGAAAGUUUUUUAUCAUGGGAUUUGGAUUUUUUUUCCUAACUAUUGGAAUUUUUUUCUAUAACCUGAGGUGGAAAAAUGGAGUCUUUGUCUUCUCUUUUCUUCUCUGGAAACAGAUCGUUAGAAUGCUCUUUUUGUCUGUACCACUGUGUGUUCCGCGCUGGAAACGUUCCGAACUUGAAGCUUUUCUCUUGCUGUGGUGGUCUGUGCCCUGGCCAGGUUUGCCUUGUAAAGAAGACAUUCUCCUUCCUGUGUGGUUGAGUCAACAUUCCACGAGUGGAUUUCCUGACAAAGUUAUUCUUUGAACUGAGGUGCCAUAAAUCUCAUUUGUGUGAGAUCAUUUUUCUCUUUCCAACCUCCUGUCCUGUUUCCGUGGACACAAAUCUGUGUCUUGACCAGUCUCCUGUUUUCACCAUGUUGUCAACAAUGCUGGAUAAAUCCUUGCCCUCAUUCCGAUCCACAUACUGGUGUGUCAAAAUGUGAAGAGUGCUGACAAAAGGAGUUACUUCUCGGAUUCAAGUCUUAAAGAAAUAGAUACAUCACGCUUAUAGGUGAAGUUUUUACAAUGUAUAAGUAUGAAAUAAUAAAAGGAAUGUUAUACGUAAAGAAUAUAGAGCAUCAAAAGAAAACGUACAAAUUGGACCCUUGUGUCGAUCUUUGGUCGCUAUCUCCAUUUGUGGAUUGUGAGAAGUGACUCAUUUUGUCAGCAUGCCUCACAAUUAUGUUGAAAAUAUGAAAAUGAAAUGUCAGAACAGUUGUAGAGUUUGAUGGGGCACUUUGUUGGGGCCUAGUCCGCCACUCCCCUCUCAGAACAGUGACAGAUCUAGAUGAGCUUACGUUUUUGUAUGGAGAUUUUGUACUGCAGAAAUAAAGCAGGGUUUUUUUGUUUUGUUUUUUUGUUUUUCUUUUGUUUCUCCUGCAAAAUGUGUAUUUUGGCAUUCAACAUUGAGGAGUCCCGGUGUUGAAACGUCCGCCCAGAAUUGAGCCUUUAGUGACCCCCUCCUGAGUAGAAACUCACUCCACUGUUUGUCCGUUGUGUGUGGGCGUGGAAGGGGAAGUUUGUCCGUUUGUCCCACCAAAGUGUGUGGGCGUGGAAGGGGAAGUUUGUCCCACCAAAGUGUGUGGGCGUGGAAGGGGAAGUUUGUCCCACCAAAGUGUGUGGGCGUGGAAGGGGAAGUUUGUCCCACCAAAGUGUGUGGGCGUGGAAGGGGAAGUUUGUCCACCAAAGUCGGACAUUUUUUAAUUGUUCCUCACUGAGUUCUCCUUGGACAAUUGCCUGUAAAGAAAAGUAGACUGUGGAAAUUAUUGUUGGUGAAGUGGAGAACAUUGGAUUUGUUUGCACUUUUUUCACCAAAGUUCAAUUUCACACAAAAAAAGAUGAUUUUUGGUUGUUUUUUCUUAUAAACUGUUCUUGAACAUUCUACAUCUAGAUCCAUGCCCCCAAAAAUGCUUUUUUCCCAAAUCUUUUUGUGAACACAGUUACGUGGUUUUAGGAGUCGGAUCAUUUCUGUUUGUUGAGGGGCUGUGGGGAAAAGUCCAUGCCAGUAACAGGAAGACAGAUAAACUACAUGUGUACAUGUCACACACUUGUCCUAGGUCACACAGAUAAACUACAAGUGUACAUGUCACACACUUGUCCUAGGUCACACAGAUAACCUACGUGUGUACAUGUCACACACUUGUCCUAGGUCACACAGAUAACCUACGUAUGUACAUGUCACACACUUGUCCUAGGUCACACAGAUAACCUACGUGUGUACAUGCCACACACUUGUCCUAGGUCACACAGAUAACCUACAUGUCACACACUUGUCCUAGGUCACACAGAUAGCCUACAUGUGUACAUGUCACACACUUGUCCUAGGUCACACACUUGUCCUAGGUCACACAGAUAAACUACGUGUGUACAUGUCACACACUUGUCCUAGGUCACACACUUGUCCUAGGUCACACAGAUAACCUACAUGUCACACACUUGUCCUAGGUCACACAGAUAACCUACAUGCCACACACUUGUCCUAGGUCACACAGAUAACCUACAUGUCACACACUUGUCCUAGGUCACACAGAUAGCCUACAUGUGUACAUGUCACACACUUGUCCUAGGUCACACACUUGUCCUAGGUCACACAGAUAAACUACGUGUGUACAUGUCACACACUUGUCCUAGGUCACACACUUGUCCUAGGUCACACAGAUAACUACGUGUGUACAUGUCACACACUUGUCCUAGGUCACACAGAUAACCUACGUAUGUACAUGUCACACACUUGUCCUAGGUCACACUGGGUCAAGCCUGUAACUGUAGCGACUUCUGUAGUCGAAAUGAGAAAUAUCUGGAAACCGCUUCUCUGUUGUGUGAGGUGGUUUAUGUUCUUUGAUUGUUUAUUCUUCAUUUGUUGUUGUUGUUUUUACGUGUAACCAGUCACUUUUACGUAGAAGUGAGGAAAUGUUGUGAGCAAACUCAAAUCUUGUGAAAUGUGAUUUCUUACUGAUGCUGAAGGCUAGUGAAGGGGUGUGUGUGUGUGUGUGUGUGAGUGAGUGAGUGAGUGUGUGUGUGUGUCUGUGUGUGUGUGUUGGUGAACCACUGGCAGAUAUGUUUGUGUGUGCGUGUGUGUUUGUGUGUGUGAGUGAGUGAGUGAGUGAGUGAACCAGUGACAGAAAUGUUCUGCAUGUUGAAACAGUUUCUUUGAUGUGAUUAGUUUCUGUGCGAUGUCAUUGACAAAAACUCCAUGGAUCUUGUGAAUAAAGAAAAGUUUUGGAGGAUAUUGUC